CCAGCCUCGCCGCGCCCCCGCCCCUGGGCUCUGGAAACGCGCGGUCCCGCUAGCCUGAAGACCAGCUGAUGGCCGCGGAGCCCACUCCGGAUCUGCACCAGCUAGGCCCCUGGCCCCCAGAGCUGGCCGUUACUGCACUGUCUCUAGUCCCGGCUUUAAACUGGAGGAAGGGAGCUGAACGGAACCUUCGAGCUUUUGACCUUAGGAAGGCUGAGAAGGUCCUACAGCACACCUGGAGACUUCUCUGCACCUCACCUGCUUUGUGAUAGUAAUCACAAAGGACAUGGAUAACAAGUCAACACACCCUUUUGUCUUUGCUACUUAGCAAGUGUCUUGCUGUACCCCUGCACCCAUCAAACUGAAAGACUGAUGUUGCAGAAAGCCAGGAGUGACCAGUCACCCCAGUACUCAGGAGACUGAGGCUGGGGGUUCGUGAGUUACAUAGGACAACCUGGACUGUAGAGUGAGCCUGUGAGUAUGGAAGAUGGAGUGCUACAAAGAAAGUGGAGACAUUGAAUACAAUCAUGGGAGAAAAAUAUCUUGUAACCACAAAUCUAAUUUCUUUUUUUUUAUAUUUAUUUAUUUAUGUAUAUGACUACACUGUA
Mus caroli (Ryukyu mouse) is the source of this 605-nucleotide long non-coding RNA. RefSeq lists it as uncharacterized. The record is from RefSeq and is a predicted model, not a curated record. NCBI's taxonomy places the organism in Eukaryota, Metazoa, Chordata, Mammalia, Rodentia, Muridae.